CAGAGGAUCGCCGCAAGUUGGCGCAAUUCAUGUGCCAUGACACUUCAACCUCAGAUAAGUUCUACGCACUUCACCUCGGACCUCUCCAAGCACGCGAGCGCCGCAGACUCUUUGAAAGGGCCCUGGUGGAGGAGGAGGAGGAGGAGGAUGGGGAGGCAGCGGGCACUGAAAGCCCCCCGCGGAAAGGGCGCAAGAGGACAGAGACUUCCGUCUCUCACCUGGAGGGAACCAGCAGGAGGACGCUGCCAUGGCGCCCUGCCAGGGGGAAAAGCCAGGGCGCUCGCCCGCUCGAACAAACAGAAGACUCUGAAUCGUCCUGAAUAAAUAUUGUACAACUUAACGGUCAAA
Danio rerio (zebrafish) is the source of this 348-nucleotide non-coding RNA. The record is from Ensembl. Lineage: Eukaryota; Metazoa; Chordata; Actinopteri; Cypriniformes; Danionidae.